This 2906-nucleotide ribosomal RNA is filed under the name Klebsiella pneumoniae. RNAcentral's name for it is "23S ribosomal RNA". It matches the Rfam family "Bacterial large subunit ribosomal RNA". Lineage: Bacteria; Pseudomonadati; Pseudomonadota; Gammaproteobacteria; Enterobacterales; Enterobacteriaceae. The record is from RNAcentral.
GGUUAAGCGACUAAGCGUACACGGUGGAUGCCCCGGCAGUCAGAGGCGAUGAAGGACGUGCUAAUCUGCGAAAAGCGUCGGUAAGGUGAUAUGAACCGUUAUAACCGGCGAUGUCCGAAUGGGGAAACCCAGUGCAAUUCGUUGCACUAUCGUUAACUGAAUACAUAGGUUAACGAGGCGAACCGGGGGAACUGAAACAUCUAAGUACCCCGAGGAAAAGAAAUCAACCGAGAUUCCCCCAGUAGCGGCGAGCGAACGGGGAGCAGCCCAGAGUCUGAAUCAGCUUGUGUGUUAGUGGAACGGUCUGGAAAGUCCGACGGUACAGGGUGAUAGUCCCGUACACCAAAAUGCACAGGUUGUGAACUCGAAGAGUAGGGCGGGACACGUGGUAUCCUGUCUGAAUAUGGGGGACCAUCCUCCAAGGCUAAAUACUCCUGACUGACCGAUAGUGAACCAGUACCGUGAGGGAAAGGCGAAAAGAACCCCGGCGAGGGGAGUGAAAAAGAACCUGAAACCGUGUACGUACAAGCAGUGGGAGCACCUUCGGGUGUGACUGCGUACCUUUGUAUAAUGGGUCAGCGACUUAUAUUCUGUAGCAAGGUUAACCGUAUAGGGGAGCCGCAGGGAAACCGAGUCUUAACUGGGCGUUAAGUUGCAGGGUAUAGACCCGAAACCCGGUGAUCUAGCCAUGGGCAGGUUGAAGGUUGGGUAACACUAACUGGAGGACCGAACCGACUAAUGUUGAAAAAUUAGCGGAUGACUUGUGGCUGGGGGUGAAAGGCCAAUCAAACCGGGAGAUAGCUGGUUCUCCCCGAAAGCUAUUUAGGUAGCGCCUCGUGAACUCAUCUUCGGGGGUAGAGCACUGUUUCGGCUAGGGGGUCAUCCCGACUUACCAACCCGAUGCAAACUACGAAUACCGAAGAAUGUUAUCACGGGAGACACACGGCGGGUGCUAACGUCCGUCGUGAAGAGGGAAACAACCCAGACCGCCAGCUAAGGUCCCAAAGUCAUGGUUAAGUGGGAAACGAUGUGGGAAGGCACAGACAGCCGGGAUGUUGGCUUAGAAGCAGCCAUCAUUUAAAGAAAGCGUAAUAGCUCACUGGUCGAGUCGGCCUGCGCGGAAGAUGUAACGGGGCUAAACCAUGCACCGAAGCUGCGGCAGCGACACUAUGUGUUGUUGGGUAGGGGAGCGUUCUGUAAGCCUGCGAAGGUGUGCUGUGAGGCAUGCUGGAGGUAUCAGAAGUGCGAAUGCUGACAUAAGUAACGAUAAAGCGGGUGAAAAGCCCGCUCGCCGGAAGACCAAGGGUUCCUGUCCAACGUUAAUCGGGGCAGGGUGAGUCGACCCCUAAGGCGAGGCCGAAAGGCGUAGUCGAUGGGAAACAGGUUAAUAUUCCUGUACUUGGUGUUACUGCGAAGGGGGGGACGGAGAAGGCUAUGUUAGCCGGGCGACGGUUGUCCCGGUUUAAGCAUGUAGGCUGAUUGUCCGAGGCAAAUCCGGAUAAUCAAGGCUGAGGUGUGAUGACGAGGCACUACGGUGCUGAAGUAACAAAUGCCCUGCUUCCGAGGAAAAGCCUCUAAGCAUCAGGUAACAUUAAAUCGUACCCCAAACCGACACAGGUGGUCAGGUAGAGAAUACCAAGGCGCUUGAGAGAACUCGGGUGAAGGAACUAGGCAAAAUGGUGCCGUAACUUCGGGAGAAGGCACGCUGGUGUGUAGGUGAAGUCCCUGCGGAUGGAGCUGAGACCAGUCGAAGAUACCAGCUGGCUGCAACUGUUUAUUAAAAACACAGCACUGUGCAAACACGAAAGUGGACGUAUACGGUGUGACGCCUGCCCGGUGCCGGAAGGUUAAUUGAUGGGGUUAUCCGUAAGGAGAAGCUCUUGAUCGAAGCCCCGGUAAACGGCGGCCGUAACUAUAACGGUCCUAAGGUAGCGAAAUUCCUUGUCGGGUAAGUUCCGACCUGCACGAAUGGCGUAAUGAUGGCCGGGGCUGUCUCCACCCGAGACUCAGUGAAAUUGAACUCGCUGUGAAGAUGCAGUGUACCCGCGGCAAGACGGAAAGACCCCGUGAACCUUUACUAUAGCUUGACACUGAACAUUGAGCCUUGAUGUGUAGGAUAGGUGGGAGGCUUUGAAGCGUGGACGCCAGUCUGCGUGGAGCCAACCUUGAAAUACCACCCUUUAAUGUUUGAUGUUCUAACGUUGGCCCCUGACCGGGGUUGCGGACAGUGUCUGGUGGGUAGUUUGACUGGGGCGGUCUCCUCCCAAAGCGUAACGGAGGAGCACGAAGGUUAGCUAAUCCCCGGUCGGACAUCAGGAGGUUAGUGCAAUGGCAUAAGCUAGCUUGACUGCGAGCGUGACGGCGCGAGCAGGUGCGAAAAGCAGGUCAUAGUGAUCCGGUGGUUCUGAAUGGAAGGGCCAUCGCUCAACGGAUAAAAGGUACUCCGGGGAUAACAGGCUGAUACCGCCCAAGAGUUCAUAUCGACGGCGGUGUUUGGCACCUCGAUGUCGGCUCAUCACAUCCCCGGGGCUGAAGUAGGUCCCAAGGGUAUGGCUGUUCGCCAUUUAAAGUGGUACGCGAGCUGGGUUUAGAACGUCGUGAGACAGUUCGGUCCCUAUCUGCCGUGGGCGCUGGAGAAUUGAGGGGGCUGCUCCUAGUACGAGAGGACCGGAGUGGACGCAUCACUGGUGUUCGGGUUGUCAUGCCAAUGGCACUGCCCGGUAGCUAAAUGCGGAAGAGAUAAGUGCUGAAAGCAUCUAAGCACGAAACUUGCCCCGAGAUGAGUUCUCCCUGAGACUUUAAGUCUCCUGAAGGAACGUUGAAGACGACGACGUUGAUAGGCCGGGUGUGUAAGCGCAGCGAUGCGUUGAGCUAACCGGUACUAAUGAACCGUGAGGCUUAACCUU